GACAGAGGUCCCGAGCGUUGUUCGGAUUCAUUGGGCGUAAAGGGUGUGUAGGCGGCUAGGUAAGUCAGGUGUGAAAUCUCACAGCUUAACUGUGAAACUGCGCUUGAUACUGCUUGGCUAGAGGAUCGGAGGGGGUAUCGGAAUUUAUGGUGUAGCAGUGAAAUGCGUAGAUAUCAUAAGGAACACCGGUGGCGAAGGCGGAUACCUGGAAGAUUCCUGACUCUGAAACACGAAAGCCAGGGGAGCAAACGGG
RNAcentral lists this ribosomal RNA (253 nucleotides) under uncultured bacterium. RNAcentral describes it as "partial 16S ribosomal RNA". It matches the Rfam family "Bacterial small subunit ribosomal RNA", at positions 524 to 776 of the family's 1533-position model. The record is from RNAcentral.